This 242-nucleotide unclassified non-coding RNA is filed under the name uncultured Psathyrella. Its description in RNAcentral is "sequence contains ITS1". Lineage: Eukaryota; Fungi; Basidiomycota; Agaricomycetes; Agaricales; Psathyrellaceae. The record is from RNAcentral.
AUGAAUAUCUAUGGCGUUGGUUGUAGCUGGCUUCUCGGAGCAUUGUGCACGCCCGUCAUUUUUAUCUUUCCACCUGUGCACCCAAUGUAGAUCUGGAUAACUCUCGCUUUCCAAAGCGGAAACAAGGAUUGCUGUGCCGCGAAGGCCGCCUCUCUUUGAAUUUCCAGUUCUAUGUCUUUUACACACCCCAAUUGAAUGAUAAAUGAAGUAGUCAAUGGGCUCUAAGCCUAUAAAAUAAUAUA